RNAcentral lists this long non-coding RNA (293 nucleotides) under Amborella trichopoda. RNAcentral's name for it is "long non-coding RNA (ATRI_LNC001223)". The record is from RNAcentral. Lineage: Eukaryota; Viridiplantae; Streptophyta; Magnoliopsida; Amborellales; Amborellaceae.
UCCUACUUGCAUCCGAUACACUUUCUGGACCGCGUAGAUCCAGCUCUCAUGAAAUAAUUUUCCUUAAUUUAUAAUCUAUAUUAAUUUUUUCUAGUGAAUUUUUGAGUUACGCUUUAAGGCCUCACCCUUGUAUAAACUUUUUCCAAUACUAUAUAUGCUCUCUGGGAGGCUACUGCGUUUAUAAAUUGUAAAACUACUCUUCUUCAGUCUAUUUGGAAUUUGAAAGCCGGUAUUAGCUUCAAUUACUCUUAUAAUGGGGCGCAACAAAACCAGAAAAUACAAAACCAACAACU